UGUCAGGUAUAGCCUGACAUGCAUUUCACCGUAGGAACCCACUUCCGGGUUCACGGAGCUUAGCCCCGCCCCUUUUUUCUGACGCGGUCCUUACACGCUACUUAGGAAGACCGCGCCAGAUUCAAAGGGCUGGAUUAUUGCACAGGUGCCUGCAAACUUAUCAGCUGCACUACCUUGAUCCUGCCUGUAUCGAGUAUCGUUCUGGGACGGCUACUACCUUCU
This is a non-coding RNA of Pelobates cultripes (western spadefoot toad), 222 nucleotides long. The record is from the annotation of a GenBank genome assembly. NCBI's taxonomy places the organism in Eukaryota, Metazoa, Chordata, Amphibia, Anura, Pelobatidae.